UGAUUUUAUGCUUGCAUAAAUGAUUUUCGGAUCGGAGCGAGUGGCGAACUGGUGAGUAACACGUGGGUAACCUGCCCCGAAGCGGGGGAUAACAUUUGGAAACAAGUGCUAAUACCGCAUAAUUAGUUGGAACCGCAUGGUUCCAACUUGAAAGAUGGCUCUGCUAUCACUUUGGGAUGGACCCGCGCCGUAUUAGUUAGUUGGUGAGAUAAAAGCCCACCAAGACGAUGAUACGUAGCCGACCUGAGAGGGUAAUCGGCCACAUUGGGACUGAGACACGGCCCAGACUCCUACGGGAGGCAGCAGUAGGGAAUCUUCCACAAUGGACGAAAGUCUGAUGGAGCAACGCCGCGUGAGUGAUGAAGGUUUUCGGAUCGUAAAACUCUGUUGUUAAAGAAGAACAAGUGUUAGAGUAACUGUUAACACUUUGACGGUAUUUAACCAGAAAGCCACGGCUAACUACGUGCCAGCAGCCGCGGUAAUACGUAGGUGGCAAGCGUUGUCCGGAUUUAUUGGGCGURAAGCGAGCGCAGGCGGUUUUGUAAGUCUGCUGUGAAAGCCCUCAGCUCAACUGAGGAAGUGCAGUGGAAACUACAAAACUUGAGUACAGAAGAGGAAAGUGGAACUCCAUGUGUAGCGGUGAAAUGCGUAGAUAUAUGGAAGAACACCAGUGGCGAAGGCGGCUUUCUGGUCUGUUACUGACGCUGAGGCUCGAAAGCAUGGGUAGCGAACAGGAUUAGAUACCCUGGUAGUCCAUGCCGUAAACGAUGAAUACUAG
RNAcentral lists this ribosomal RNA (778 nucleotides) under Apilactobacillus kunkeei. Its description in RNAcentral is "bacterial SSU rRNA". It matches the Rfam family "Bacterial small subunit ribosomal RNA", at positions 69 to 819 of the family's 1533-position model. The record is from RNAcentral. Lineage: Bacteria; Bacillati; Bacillota; Bacilli; Lactobacillales; Lactobacillaceae.